GACGAACGCUGGCGGCGUGCUUAACACAUGCAAGUCGAACGGAAAGGCCCUGCUUUUGUGGGGUGCUCGAGUGGCGAACGGGUGAGUAACACGUGAGUAACCUGCCCUUGACUUUGGGAUAACUUCAGGAAACUGGGGCUAAUACCGGAUAGGAGCUCCUGCUGCAUGGUGGGGGUUGGAAAGUUUCGGCGGUUGGGGAUGGACUCGCGGCUUAUCAGCUUGUUGGUGGGGUAGUGGCUUACCAAGGCUUUGACGGGUAGCCGGCCUGAGAGGGUGACCGGCCACAUUGGGACUGAGAUACGGCCCAGACUCCUACGGGAGGCAGCAGUGGGGAAUAUUGCACAAUGGGCGGAAGCCUGAUGCAGCAACGCCGCGUGCGGGAUGACGGCCCUCGGGUUGUAAACCGCUUUCGCCUGUGACGAAGCGUGAGUGACGGUAAUGGGUAAAGAAGCACCGGCUAACUACGUGCCAGCAGCCGCGGUGAUACGUAGGGUGCGAGCGUUGUCCGGAUUUAUUGGGCGUAAAGGGCUCGUAGGUGGUUGAUCGCGUCGGAAGUGUAAUCUUGGGGCUUAACCCUGAGCGUGCUUUCGAUACGGGUUGACUUGAGGAAGGUAGGGGAGAAUGGAAUUCCUGGUGGAGCGGUGGAAUGCGCAGAUAUCAGGAGGAACACCAGUGGCGAAGGCGGUUCUCUGGGCCUUUCCUGACGCUGAGGAGCGAAAGCGUGGGGAGCGAACAGGCUUAGAUACCCUGGUAGUCCACGCUGUAAACGGUGGGUACUAGGUGUGGGGUCCAUUCCACGGGUUCCGUGCCGUAGCUAACGCUUUAAGUACCCCGCCUGGGGAAUACGGCCGCAAGGCUAAAACUCAAAGGAAUUGACGGGGCCCCGCACAAGCGGCGGAGCAUGCGGAUUAAUUCGAUGCAACGCGUAGAACCUUACCUGGGUUUGACAUGGAUCGGGAGUGCUCAGAGAUGGGUGUGCCUCUUUUGGGGUCGGUUCACAGGUGGUGCAUGGCUGUCGUCAGCUCGUGUCGUGAGAUGUUGGGUUAAGUCCCGCAACGAGCGCAACCCUUGUUCACUGUUGCCAGCACGUUAUGGUGGGGACUCAGUGGAGACCGCCGGGGUCAACUCGGAGGAAGGUGGGGAUGACGUCAAGUCAUCAUGCCCCUUAUGUCCAGGGCUUCACGCAUGCUACAAUGGCUGGUACAGAGAGUGGCGAGCCUGUGAGGGUGAGCGAGUCUCGGAAAGCCGGUCUCAGUUCGGAUUGGGGUCUGCAACUCGACCUCAUGAAGUCGGAGUCGCUAGUAAUCGCAGAUCAGCAACGCUGCGGUGAAUACGUUCCCGGGGCU
This 1346-nucleotide ribosomal RNA is filed under the name uncultured bacterium. Its description in RNAcentral is "partial 16S ribosomal RNA". It matches the Rfam family "Bacterial small subunit ribosomal RNA", at positions 28 to 1381 of the family's 1533-position model. The record is from RNAcentral.